GAAGGGGGCUAGCGUUGUUCGGAAUCACUGGGCGUAAAGGGCGCGUAGGCGGCCUGGCAAGUCGGGGGUGAAAGCCUGUGGCUCAACCACAGAAUGGCCUUCGAUACUGCUGGGCUUGAGACCGGAAGAGGUCAGUGGAACUGCGAGUGUAGAGGUGAAAUUCGUAGAUAUUCGCAAGAACACCAGUGGCGAAGGCGGCUGACUGGUCCGGUUCUGACGCUGAGGCGCGAAAGCGUGGGGAGCAAACAGGAUUAGAUACCCUGGUAGUCCACGCCGUAAACGAUGGAUGCUAGCCGUUGGCGAGCUUGCUCGUCAGUGGCGCAGCUAACGCUUUAAGCAUCCCGCCUGGGGAGUACGGUCGCAAGAUUAAA
This 371-nucleotide ribosomal RNA is filed under the name uncultured bacterium. RNAcentral describes it as "bacterial SSU rRNA". It matches the Rfam family "Bacterial small subunit ribosomal RNA", at positions 527 to 898 of the family's 1533-position model. The record is from RNAcentral.